GGCCGGCUUGGCGGGCGCCGGUGCAGCGGGGCUGCUGGCGGCCGCCAAGGCCGGUCCCUUGUCCGGCGCCGGUUCC
Molecule: transfer RNA, 76 nt
Filed under: compost metagenome
Description: tRNA-Ala
Source: RNAcentral